UACAGAGGGUGCGAGCGUCAAUCGGAAUUACUGGGCGUAAAGCGCACGUAGGUGGCUUGGCAAGUCGGGUGUGAAAUCCCCGGGCUCAACCUGGGAACUGCAUUCGAGACUGCCUUGCUAGAGUAUGGGAGAGGGAAGUGGAAUUUCCGGUGUAGCGGUGAAAUGCGUAGAUAUCGGAAGGAACAUCAGUGGCGAAGGCGACUUCCUGGACCAAUAUUGACGCUGAGAAACGAAAGUGCGGGGAUCAAACAGG
Molecule: ribosomal RNA, 253 nt
Filed under: uncultured bacterium
Lineage: Bacteria
Description: partial 16S ribosomal RNA
Rfam family: Bacterial small subunit ribosomal RNA
Source: RNAcentral